AUAGAACGCUGGCGGCAGGCCUAACACAUGCAAGUCGAACGGUAACAGGAGGAACCUUGCUUUUUUGCUGACGCGUGGCGCGCGGGUGAGUCAUGUCUGGGACACUGCUUGAUGGCGGGGGUUAACUACUGGAACCGGUACCUAAAACCGCAUAACGUUGCAAGCCCAAAGAGCGGUACCGACGGGCCUCUUGCCUUCGGCUGUUCCCAGAUGGCAUUAGCUAGUAGGUGGGGUAACGGGUCACCUAGGCGACGAUCCCUAGCUGGUCUGAGAGGAUGACCAGCCACACUGGAACUGAGACACGGUCCAGACUCCUACGGGAGGCAGCAGUAGGGAAUAUUGCACAAUGGGCGCAAGCCUGAUGGAGCCAUGCCGCGUGUAUGAUGAAGGCCUUCGGAUUGUAAAGUUCUUUCAGCGGGGAGGAAGAAAGUAGAGUUAAAACCUGUGCUCAUUGACGGUACCCGCAGAAGAAGCACCGGCUAACUCCGUG
RNAcentral lists this ribosomal RNA (490 nucleotides) under uncultured bacterium. RNAcentral's name for it is "partial 16S ribosomal RNA". It matches the Rfam family "Bacterial small subunit ribosomal RNA", at positions 31 to 507 of the family's 1533-position model. The record is from RNAcentral.